This is a long non-coding RNA of Aplysia californica (California sea hare), 1609 nucleotides long. RefSeq lists it as uncharacterized. The record is from RefSeq and is a predicted model, not a curated record. The transcript is spliced from 3 exons. NCBI's taxonomy places the organism in Eukaryota, Metazoa, Mollusca, Gastropoda, Aplysiida, Aplysiidae.
CCUUUUUGGGGGGUCAAAUUACAUACACAUUUUGGAAGUAAAGAAAACGUUUGCUUAGUUGAUCUAUUGAUUUUUAACCUGACAGCCAAAACAAUCUAGUAGAUCUGGUCCGCUAACUAGUUCAACCCUUAGGUCACACUGAACUUUCGUCGAGUCAAAAACACACGUUUCGGUUUAUUUCUAGCUCCGACGUUUUCCCAAAGAUCGAUACCUAGUGACGUAGCCCUUCACGCGAUGUGCGGCGAAGCGGCGGACAAAAGCCUAAAGAGGAAGUGGAAUAUCUUGGUAGUAAAGAAUCUUUGGUUUUCCCUUUGGCACAGAAGUUUUCGAUCCCAGGAUGCAACAUCUGCGUGUUUUGCCACCCGCCCGCACACAGCACAUCUCCGGGUUUUCGUGACGUAAGCUACUGUCACUCGAAAAAGGGGAAGAAUAACGGAAAUUCUUCAGCUUUGACACCGAUUCAACUGAUAUACUGAGCAGCUUUGCUUAUCUGUGAAGGCCCAGCUGACAACUGACAAGUCUGACUCGUGACUGUAAAUCCACAAGCCUGAUAUAUAUUUCAGGUCAACUACAGUGGCACGUACGUCUAGGUAUAAGCGAAGGUGUCAUAUGGGGUUGGAUCACUCGACCACAAGAUGAGGAACACCUCAUUCAUUGGUGAUGGAGAUUCAAAAUCAUUCCCACUGUAUUGGCCCUCAACCUCUAUGAUUCCAUACUCAUAAAGGAGGUGGCGUGUGUCAACCAUGUGGCAAAACGGAGAAGAUUGGAUGUCUCCUGUCCUAUUACUCAAAACCUGUGAGGUCGUUCAACUCUUUCCACCGCUAAUGUGAGACGCAGUUGUGGCCACGUUGCUGCACAGCACCAGCACAGAUGGAGACCCACAUCAUGACAGAUGCCCACCUACUGGUGAAAACAACUGGUGCUUUUACGAUAUUAUAAUGCGGAUAGGUUGCACACAGAAGACUCGAAAUCAUGCCUCGUCGAACUGUGCCUGCAGCCCAAGGUUUUUUUUCUUCUUUUUCUUUAUAAUAAGAUAUCCCUUGAACUACCGAGGCCGGUCCUAACAUCAUCGAGCUAUUCGUGUUAUACUGUGGACCAACUUUUACAAAAGGCAUUACAUCAGUGAAGGAAACAUAGCACCAUCACACAAGGGAAGGCCUUCUGUCCCCCUCAAACCCCUUGUUGCCUCACUUGUGAAGCACAGAUGAGCUAGUGGAGAUCAAGUAUGUGCCUGGCGUGACACAAAAACAGAAUGAGAGUUUCCGUGUUCACAUCUAGUAGAAGUGGCCUGACCUAAGAGAAGACGAUCUUUGUGACCAAACCAAGAGUAGCAGCAGCUUGAGCUAUCUCUACUGCAGACUGGGGUUUGGAGGCCUUUGGCAGCCUGACGUUUGUGCCAUUUCUGAAGCUGCAGGUCUCAGCCCAAACCAUGGACAGUGGCACCAGAAGGGACUGUACCCAAAUAGAGAAGACAGAGACUGCCAUAGAGGGUGUGGCUUAGAAAAGCAGGAAAGGAACCAUUUAUUAGAGGAUGAAAAACGGACAGACAGACCUCUCUUCUUCCAAGGCAAAGUUACUGAUUGGAAUAAAGAAGUCCUUCUGCAAUUUA